RNAcentral lists this ribosomal RNA (253 nucleotides) under uncultured bacterium. Its description in RNAcentral is "partial 16S ribosomal RNA". It matches the Rfam family "Bacterial small subunit ribosomal RNA", at positions 524 to 776 of the family's 1533-position model. The record is from RNAcentral.
UACGUAGGAGACGAGCGUUGUCCGGAAUUACUGGGCGUAAAGCGCGUGUAGGCGGAUGAGCAAGUCUGCUGUGAAAGCUCCUGGCUUAACCGGGAGUGGUCGGUGGAAACUGCUCGUCUGGAGGACGGUAGAGGUAGGUAGAAUUCCCGGUGUAGUGGUGAAAUGCGUAGAGAUCGGGAGGAAUACCUGUGGCGAAGGCGGCCUACUGGGCCGGACCUGACGCUGAGGCGCGAAGGCGUGGGGAGCGAACGGG